Molecule: non-coding RNA, 98 nt
Organism: Mycena leptocephala
Lineage: Eukaryota; Fungi; Basidiomycota; Agaricomycetes; Agaricales; Mycenaceae
Source: the annotation of a GenBank genome assembly
CACCCGAUAGCACAUGGUGUGCGCCUGCGUAUCUUUCUGGAAUUAAUAAGGCAAGACUUAUGGUGCUGGAGUACCCCGUUCGACUCGGGGUCGGGUGA